This 253-nucleotide ribosomal RNA is filed under the name uncultured bacterium. RNAcentral's name for it is "partial 16S ribosomal RNA". It matches the Rfam family "Bacterial small subunit ribosomal RNA", at positions 524 to 776 of the family's 1533-position model. The record is from RNAcentral.
UACGUAGGGGGCAAGCGUUGUCCGGAUUUAUUGGGCGUAAAGAGCGUGUAGGCGGCCAUACAGGUCAGCUGUGAAAACUCGAGGCUCAACCUCGAGACGUCGGUUGAAACCGUAUGGCUAGAGUCCGGAAGAGGAGAGUGGAAUUCCCGGUGUAGCGGUGAAAUGCGCAGAUAUCGGGAAGAACGCCCGUGGCGAAGGCGGCUCUCUGGGACGGUACUGACGCUGAGACGCGAAAGCGUGGGGAGCGAACAGG